GAUGAACGCUGGCGGCGUGCCUAAUACAUGCAAGUCGAGCGAACAGACGAGGAGCUUGCUCCUCUGACGUUAGCGGCGGACGGGUGAGUAACACGUGGAUAACCUACCUAUAAGACUGGGAUAACUUCGGGAAACCGGAGCUAAUACCGGAUAAUAUAUUGAACCGCAUGGUUCAAUAGUGAAAGACGGUUUUGCUGUCACUUAUAGAUGGAUCCGCGCCGCAUUAGCUAGUUGGUAAGGUAACGGCUUACCAAGGCAACGAUGCGUAGCCGACCUGAGAGGGGGAUCGGCCACACUAGAACUGAGACACGGUCCAGACUCCUACGGGAGGCAGCAGUAGGGAAUCUUCCGCAAUGGGCGAAAGCCUGACGGAGCAACGCCGCGUGAGUGAUGAAGGUCUUCGGAUCGUAAAACUCUGUUAUUAGGGAAGAACAAAUGUGUAAGUAACUAUGCACGUCUUGACGGUACCUAAUCAGAAAGCCACGGCUAACUACGUG
Molecule: ribosomal RNA, 497 nt
Filed under: uncultured bacterium
Lineage: Bacteria
Description: partial 16S ribosomal RNA
Rfam family: Bacterial small subunit ribosomal RNA
Source: RNAcentral